Molecule: ribosomal RNA, 465 nt
Filed under: uncultured bacterium
Lineage: Bacteria
Description: partial 16S ribosomal RNA
Rfam family: Bacterial small subunit ribosomal RNA
Source: RNAcentral
CCUACGGGAGGCUGCAGUGGGGAAUAUUGCGCAAUGGGCGAAAGCCUGACGCAGCGACGCCGCGUUAGGGAUGAAGUUCUUCGGCUCGUAAACCUCUGUCAGCAGGGAAGAACGGUCACUUUGCUAAUCAGCAAUGAAUUGACGGUACCUUCAAAGGAAGCACCGGCUAACUCCGUGCCAGCAGCCGCGGUAAUAAGGAGGGUGCGAGCGUUAAUCGGAAUUACUGGGCGUAACGCGCUCGUAGUCGGCAUGUCAAGUCAAGGGUGAAAUCCCCGGGCUCAACGUGGGAACUGCCUUUGAAACUGGUAAACUGGAGUGUGUGAGAGGAUAGGGGAAUUCCAGGUGUAGGAGUGAAAUCCGUAGAUAUCAGGAGGAACAUCAGUGGCGAAGGCGACUAUCUGGCACAUAACUGACGCUGAGGAGCGAAAGCGUGGGUAGCAAACAGGAUUAGAUACCCGUGUAGUC